AAAACUCAAAUGAAUUGACGGGACCCGCACAAGCAACGGAGCGUGUGGUUUAAUUCGUUGCUACACGAAGAACUACCUGGGUUUGACAUAUAGGUUGUAGGGAACUGAAAGGGACCGACCCUUCGGGGAGCCUAUACAGGUGUUGCAUGGCUGUCGUCAGCUCGUGUCGUGAGAUGUUCGGUUAAGUCCGCUAACGAGCGCAACCCUCGUCGUAUGUUAUAUGUGUCAUACGAGACUGCCGGUAAAAGCCGGAGGAAGGUGAGGAUGAUGUCAAGUCAGCAUGACCUUUAUAUCCAGGGCUACACACACGCUACAAUGGUCUGUACAAUGGGUAGCCAAGCCGCGAGGCGGAGCCAAUCCUGAAAGCAGGCCUCAGUUCAGAUUGCAGUCUGCAACUCGACUGCAUGAAGCCGGAGUUGCUAGUAACCGCAGGUCAGCAAUACUGCGGUGAAUACGUUCCCGGGUCUU
This 468-nucleotide ribosomal RNA is filed under the name uncultured Anaerolineaceae bacterium. RNAcentral describes it as "bacterial SSU rRNA". It matches the Rfam family "Bacterial small subunit ribosomal RNA", at positions 896 to 1382 of the family's 1533-position model. Lineage: Bacteria; Bacillati; Chloroflexota; Anaerolineae; Anaerolineales; Anaerolineaceae. The record is from RNAcentral.